ACUCUUACGGGAGGCAGCAGUAGGGAAUCUUGCGCAAUGGGCGAAAGCCUGACGCAGCCAUGCCGCGUGUAUGAUGAAGGUCUUAGGAUUGUAAAAUACUUUCACCGGGGAAGAUAAUGACGGUACCCGGAGAAGAAGCCCCGGCUAACUUCGUGCCAGCAGCCGCGGUAAUACGAAGGGGGCGAGCGUUGCUCGGAAUUACUGGGCGUAAAGGGCGCGUAGGCGGACAGUUUAGUCAGAGGUGAAAGCCCAGGGCUCAACCUUGGAAUUGCCUUUGAUACAGGCUGUCUUGAGUUCGGGAGAGGUGAGUGGAAUGCCGAGUGUAGAGGUGAAAUUCGUAGAUAUCGGGAGGAACACCUGUGGCGAAAGCGGCUCUCUGGACCACAACUGACGCUGAGGCGCGAAAGCUAGGGGAGCAAACAGGAUUAGAUACCCUGGUAGUCCUAGCCCUAAACGAUGAUUGCUUGCUGUGAUCGGUACCCAAUCCGGUUGUGGCGAAGCUAACGCGAUAAGCAAUCCGCCUGGGGAGUACGGUCGCAAGGCUGAAACUUAAAGGAAUUGACG
RNAcentral lists this ribosomal RNA (564 nucleotides) under uncultured Phenylobacterium sp. RNAcentral describes it as "bacterial SSU rRNA". It matches the Rfam family "Bacterial small subunit ribosomal RNA", at positions 335 to 915 of the family's 1533-position model. The record is from RNAcentral. Lineage: Bacteria; Pseudomonadati; Pseudomonadota; Alphaproteobacteria; Caulobacterales; Caulobacteraceae.